This is a non-coding RNA of Peromyscus maniculatus bairdii (prairie deer mouse), 1865 nucleotides long. The record is from RefSeq and is a predicted model, not a curated record. NCBI's taxonomy places the organism in Eukaryota, Metazoa, Chordata, Mammalia, Rodentia, Cricetidae.
ACUUUCCCCAUCUAAAGUGUUGAGCAGAGAAUUCAUUGAUGCCACAUUUUGGAGAAACUGUGAAAUGAUAAAAAUGGAUUGUUUUAACUGCUGACACAGUGAAAGGUUCUACAUUCUGUAUGUCCAAGCUGUCAUUUCAUGAGGACCGUUUGGUGGGUGUGUGAACUGGUCACACUAAGAAGAACUGGGAGGUCUUAUGAAGAGUGGUCAAAACACAGAAGUCUUUACCAAGUCCUGUAACUAUGAAUAUCAGAAAUGAAUCUUUUGGCAUUCAUCAAGGACUAGUUGACAGGAGCCCUGGCUGAAAAAAAUCCACCACAAAUUCUGAGGUAGACCCAGAUAACAGUCUGACACUGAGGAAGGUUGAUGCAGAAACUCAAGGAGGAACACAGGAAGGAAGCAUCAUGGGAAGCUACUUUAUGGAAGACUUAACCCUGAGCCUCUGCUUAGCUAGCUUACUUUUAAAAAAUAUUUUCUAUUGUUUUUGCAACAUGUUAUUCAUUCGCCAAACUGUUAACAUUUAACAUGAAUAACAACUUCUAGCACUAUGAAAGCUAGCCAGUAGUAAUGAAGCCUCCAAGUCAAUACCAGCAUGAUUUCCCCAUAUUGUAUGAUUCAAGUAUGUGAUGUCUUCAGGAACAGAAUAUUUCCAUCAAGUCCUGGAAAGUAACUAAAAGCAAUAAUAAUGAGGAUGGGGUGUCUAUGGAGCAUCACUGGCCAACAACUCAUUCCUGACUUUGGGCUUUUAUUUGCUGAUAUCGGAGUCAACAGAAGAACUGAGCCACAUCAGUACACAGCAUUCAUGUUAUGUUCCUUAGGGUUCCUGAUGUCAACCCACUUAUUCUAAUCUCUCCAGGGAAGUCUUCUGUAAUAAAUGACUUGCCAGGAAUGUUUGGCUCACAAUCUGCUUUGGGAAGAGCAGGACCUCAGAUGUAUCUGGAGACUCCCGAACCCAGCUGUGUGAAUCCUCAUAACUAUUCUGCUUGGGAAUUUGCUUGGCUAUCACAGAAACAUCUAGGAUCACAAAUCACUUGGAUUCCCACACAUCCAGUUCCCCUCUUCACCCCUGAUCAAGGCCCAGGAUCCUUCAGCAGAUUGGACCCUGUCAAAGAAGGGAAUCAACAUGUUUCUGGCUGCUUGACAUUGUCAGUUGCGUUCUUAAUUCCAGCUUUAUGUUCUCACCCAUCAUUUUAAGUAUGUGUUACUAGAUCUGUUUUAUAGUCAAGGAAACUGGAGUUCAGAGAGGUUAUAAAAACUGAACAAAUUCCCACACACUAAGACACAACUCGGGAUUUUAACUUUAAACUUCAAGUUCAGUGAAUUGUGCACAAGCACAGCAACUGGCCUUGACGUUCCCACCUGAGAGUAAAUAAUGGUCCGAAGAGAUCACAUCACCAUUGCAUCGAGAAUCAGACAGAACCCAGGCCGUUACAGCACCAUGACGAUGACUAAGUGCCACGAUAAUGCCUAAGUACAAUGACAAUGACUAAAGCAGCCCUCCCUUCACUCCUGUGAGUCAUUGUUCUUUUCCAACUGUGGCCUAGUUCAGGUUAAUCAUUCUAACUCCUAGAUAAAUGCAUCCCAAUUUCUUGACAAAAUCCAAUCUAAAACUAGGUCCCUGCUUUCUUAUUUUCCCCUUGAAGUUAUUUCAAGUCUAGUCUGUUCUCAAGAUGCUCCCAGACUCCACUGACCUUCACUUUCUUUUCCUGCAGCACCCUAAGGGGCUUAAUUAUGUUGACAUCAAAGAUGUCCCUGGUGGCUUAAUUGUCUGCAUUUCUUGAUUUAUCAAGUGUUUUCCAAUAUAAUUUCUCCAUAGAAGAAAUAUGCUAUUGUCUAGUAUCAUAUUUCAUGAAAUGUUAGACUUU